This 467-nucleotide ribosomal RNA is filed under the name uncultured bacterium. RNAcentral's name for it is "partial 16S ribosomal RNA". It matches the Rfam family "Bacterial small subunit ribosomal RNA", at positions 28 to 507 of the family's 1533-position model. The record is from RNAcentral.
GACGAACGCUGGCGGCGUGCUUAACACAUGCAAGUCGAACGGAAAGGCCCUGCUUUUGUGGGGUGCUCGAGUGGCGAACGGGUGAGUAACACGUGAGUAACCUGCCCUUGACUUUGGGAUAACUUCAGGAAACUGGGGCUAAUACCGGAUAGGAGCUCCUGCUGCAUGGUGGGGGUUGGAAGUUUCGGCGGUUGGGGAUGGACUCGCGGCUUAUCAGCUUGUUGGUGGGGUAGUGGCUUACCAAGGCUUCGACGGGUAGCCGGCCUGAGAGGGUGACCGGCCACAUUGGGACUGAGAUACGGCCCAGACUCCUACGGGAGGCAGCAGUGGGGAAUAUUGCACAAUGGGCGGAAGCCUGAUGCAGCAACGCCGCGUGCGGGAUGACGGCCUUCGGGUUGUAAACCGCUUUCGCCUGUGACGAAGCGUGAGUGACGGUAAUGGGUAAAGAAGCACCGGCUAACUACGUG